AGAGUUUGAUCAUGGCUCAGGACGAACGCUGGCGGCGUGCUUAACACAUGCAAGUCGAACGAGACCUUCGGGUCGAGUGGCGGACGGGUGAGUAACGCGUGGGCAACCUGCCUUGUAGUGGGGGAUACCCAGCCGAAAGGUUGGCUAAUACCGCAUGAGCUCUCUGGUUGGGAUACCGGAGAGGAAAGAUUCAUUGCUAUAAGAGGGGCCCGCGUUCGAUUAGCUAGUUGGUGAGGUAACGGCUCACCAAGGCGACGAUCGAUAGCUGGUCUGAGAGGACGAUCAGCCACACUGGAACUGAGACACGGUCCAGACUCCUACGGGAGGCAGCAGUGGGGAAUUUUCCGCAAUGGGCGAAAGCCUGACGGAGCAACGCCGCGUGGAUGAUGAAGUCUUUCGGGACGUAAAAUCCUUUCAGGGGGGAAGAAGCCAGUGACGGUACCCCCAGAAGAAGCACCGGCUAACUACGUGCCAGCAGCCGCGGUAAUACGUAGGGUGCGAGCGUUGUCCGGAAUUAUUGGGCGUAAAGGGAGCGUAGGCGGCCAUUUAAGUUUGGUCUUAAAGACCGGGGCUCAACCCCGGGAGUGGACUGAAUACUGGGUGGCUAGAGGAUGUCAGAGGAAAGUGGAAUUCCGAGUGUAGCGGUGAAAUGCGUAGAUAUUCGGAGGAACACCAGUGGCGAAAGCGACUUUCUGGGGCAUU
RNAcentral lists this ribosomal RNA (702 nucleotides) under uncultured bacterium. RNAcentral's name for it is "bacterial SSU rRNA". It matches the Rfam family "Bacterial small subunit ribosomal RNA", at positions 8 to 738 of the family's 1533-position model. The record is from RNAcentral.